Molecule: ribosomal RNA, 539 nt
Filed under: uncultured bacterium
Lineage: Bacteria
Description: bacterial SSU rRNA
Rfam family: Archaeal small subunit ribosomal RNA
Source: RNAcentral
AGUCAAUAGAUACCCGGGUAGUCCCAGCUGUAAACGAUGCGCGUUAGGUGUAUCGGUGACCACGAGUCACCGAGGUGCCGAAAGGGAAACCGUGAAACGUGCCGCCUGGGAAGUACGGUCGCAAGGCUGAAACUUAAAGGAAUUGGCGGGGGAGCACCACAACAGGUGGAGCCUGCGGUUUAAAUCGGACUCAACGCCGGGAAGCUCACCGGAUAAGACAGCUGAAUGAUAGCCGGGUUGAAGACUCUGCUUGACUAGCUGAGAGGAGGUGCAUGGCCGUCGUCAGUUCGUACUGUGAAGCAUCCUGUUAAGUCAGGCAACGAGCGAGACCCACGCCAACAGUUGCCAGCAUGUCCUCCGGGAUGGUGGGGACACUGUUGGGACCGCCUCUGCUAAAGAGGAGGAAGGAAUGGGCAGCGGUAGGUCAGCAUGCCCCGAAUUAUCCGGGCUACACGCGGGCUACAAUGGUCAGGACAAUGGGUAUCAACACCGAAAGGUGAAGGCAAUCUCCUAAACCUGUCCUUAGUUCGGAUUGUGGG